AAGGAGACUUGGCGCGUGGAGCUCGCGUGUAGCCGAGGAUUCGGUGGACGCUUCGAGGAGUUGAGGCGUUGACGCUGGAGAAGUUGCGGCGAGAUCGAUUGGAGGAUUCCUAUCGAUCGAGGACCAGCGAAGAUCACCAUCUACGGGAAAUCGGUAAAUUGAGUUGUGUAUUUUUGUCAAAAUCACUUGUACUCAAGUUUUCUUUGUGGAUUUUCUUCGUGUGAUUGGUCCCGUGGGUUUUUCACUCCGAUUUGGAGUUUUCCCACGUUAAAUUCUCGGUGUGCUGUUUUCUUUUCUGCUAUUUCGUUUUAUUUGCAUCGAGAUUUUUGAGUUUGCCGUUUUUACACCUAUUCACCACCCCCCUCUAG
Molecule: long non-coding RNA, 368 nt
Filed under: Ananas comosus (pineapple)
Lineage: Eukaryota; Viridiplantae; Streptophyta; Magnoliopsida; Poales; Bromeliaceae
Description: long non-coding RNA (ACOM_LNC003161)
Source: RNAcentral